This 490-nucleotide ribosomal RNA is filed under the name uncultured bacterium. RNAcentral describes it as "partial 16S ribosomal RNA". It matches the Rfam family "Bacterial small subunit ribosomal RNA", at positions 30 to 507 of the family's 1533-position model. The record is from RNAcentral.
AUUGAACGCUGGCGGCAGGCCUAACACAUGCAAGUCGAACGGUAACAGGAAGAAGCUUGCUUCUUUGCUGACGAGUGGCGGACGGGUGAGUAAUGUCUGGGAAACUGCCUGAUGGAGGGGGAUAACUACUGGAAACGGUAGCUAAUACCGCAUAACGUCGCAAGACCAAAGAGGGGGACCUUCGGGCCUCUUGCCAUCUGAUGUGCCCAGAUGGGAUUAGCUUGUUGGUGGGGUAACGGCUCACCAAGGCGACGAUCCCUAGCUGGUCUGAGAGGAUGACAAGCCACACUGGAACUGGGACACGGUCCAGACUCCUACAGGAGGCAGCAGUGGGGAAUAUGGCACAAUGGGCGCAAGCCUGAUGCAGCCAUGCCGCGUGUAUGAAGAAGGCCUUCGGGUUGUAAAGUACUUUCAGCGGGGAGGAAGGGAGUAAAGUUAAUACCUUGGCUCAUUGACGUUACCCGCAGAAGAAGCACCGGCUAACUCCGUG